CGGCGUCGAGCGGCGGACGGGUGAGUAAUGCCUGGGAAAUUGCCCUGAUGUGGGGGAUAACCAUUGGAAACGAUGGCUAAUACCGCAUAAUAGCUUCGGCUCAAAGAGGGGGACCUUCGGGCCUCUCGCGUCAGGAUAUGCCCAGGUGGGAUUAGCUAGUUGGUGAGGUAAGGGCUCACCAAGGCGACGAUCCCUAGCUGGUCUGAGAGGAUGAUCAGCCACACUGGAACUGAGACACGGUCCAGACUCCUACGGGAGGCAGCAGUGGGGAAUAUUGCACAAUGGGCGCAAGCCUGAUGCAGCCAUGCCGCGUGUGUGAAGAAGGCCUUCGGGUUGUAAAGCACUUUCAGUCGUGAGGAAGGUAGUGUGUUUAAUAGAUGCAUUAUUUGACGUUAGCGACAGAAGAAGCACCGGCUAACUCCGUGCCAGCAGCCGCGGUAAUACGGAGGGUGCGAGCGUUAAUCGGAAUUACUGGGCGUAAAGCGCAUGCAGGUGGUGUGUUAAGUCAGAUGUGAAAGCCCGGGGCUCAACCUCGGAAUUGCAUUUGAAACUGGCAGACUAGAGUACUGUAGAGGGGGGUAGAAUUUCAGGUGUAGCGGUGAAAUGCGUAGAGAUCUGAAGGAAUACCGGUGGCGAAGGCGGCCCCCUGGACAGAUACUGACACUCAGAUGCGAAAGCGUGGGGAGCAAACAGGAUUAGAUACCCUGGUAGUCCACGCCGUAAACGAUGUCUACUUGGAGGUUGUGGCCUUGAGCCGUGGCUUUCGGAGCUAACGCGUUAAGUAGACCGCCUGGGGAGUACGGUCGCAAGAUUAAAACUCAAAUGAAUUGACGGGGGCCCGCACAAGCGGUGGAGCAUGUGGUUUAAUUCGAUGCAACGCGAAGAACCUUACCUACUCUUGACAUCCAGAGAACUUUCCAGAGAUGGAUUGGUGCCUUCGGGAACUCUGAGACAGGUGCUGCAUGGCUGUCGUCAGCUCGUGUUGUGAAAUGUUGGGUUAAGUCCCGCAACGAGCGCAACCCUUAUCCUUGUUUGCCAGCGAGUCAUGUCGGGAACUCCAGGGAGACUGCCGGUGAUAAACCGGAGGAAGGUGGGGACGACGUCAAGUCAUCAUGGCCCUUACGAGUAGGGCUACACACGUGCUACAAUGGCGCAUACAGAGGGCGGCCAACUUGCGAAAGUGAGCGAAUCCCAAAAAGUGCGUCGUAGUCCGGAUUGGAGUCUGCAACUCGACUCCAUGAAGUCGGAAUCGCUAGUAAU
This 1260-nucleotide ribosomal RNA is filed under the name Vibrio proteolyticus. RNAcentral's name for it is "bacterial SSU rRNA". It matches the Rfam family "Bacterial small subunit ribosomal RNA", at positions 86 to 1342 of the family's 1533-position model. Lineage: Bacteria; Pseudomonadati; Pseudomonadota; Gammaproteobacteria; Vibrionales; Vibrionaceae. The record is from RNAcentral.